RNAcentral lists this ribosomal RNA (119 nucleotides) under Panicum miliaceum (proso millet). Lineage: Eukaryota; Viridiplantae; Streptophyta; Magnoliopsida; Poales; Poaceae. The record is from RNAcentral. RNAcentral also lists the same sequence under 2 other names.
GGAUGCGAUCAUACCAGCACUAAAGCACCGGAUCCCAUCAGAACCCCGAAGUUAAGCGUGCUUGGGCGAGAGUAGUACUAGGAUGGGUGACCUCCUGGGAAGUCCUCGUGUUGCAUUCC